UACUCUGCUAUAGUCUUCAAGCCAGCUUUCCUCCUCGCAUGAGGAUAUCCAUCUCUCAACUUUAUCUAAUAUUUCUUUUCUGCUCAGAGCUUCCUCCUUUGCUUUCAGUAUCUGACUAUCCAUGUCAGCAAUCAGUUCUGAAGGUUCCAUGUUCCCUGACUCAAUCAGUGCCUGUAUUUUCUCAUGGGCAACUGCUGUGUCUAAUACAACAUGAGUGCUAGCAUAAAUAUCUUCCAGUAUGGCUUGCUUCUUAAAAGCUAUUUCUUUCAUCUUGCUGUAUUUUAGCUGAUCCAACCUUUCAACCUCAGUCUGUGCCUGAAAUAUUGGGUAAUGAAGAUCAAAAUCAAACGAGAAGUAAAAAAUAUAUAUGAAGGGAUGCUGAAGGUGGUCCAAUAAAAGACCAAUUAGUAUAUUGUGUGACUCACUUGAUCAAUCACAUCAACAGCAAGUGCACCAGGAACCAUGACCUCCUCAACAGUUGCUGUUCUAUUGCACGAAACAUGAUCAAACAAGCUCCUUUCUUCCACCGGGGUGUCCAUAAGAUCCCAUAGAUCAUAGAGUUGAGUGGCAAGCUCUUGAAGCUGAAUAAACAGUAUAAAUCAUACAUGAGAUCCAGGAUAAGAAUGGCUCUUGGUUGCUAAGUAUAAAACUGAAAGAAAGAAAAUAUGAGUUACCUUCUCAAGUCUCAACCUUUUGUCCUCAUUAAGAGUACCAAUGGUCCUAUCAAGUUUUGACAGGGUUUCAUUGCUUAUGUUCUUGUGUUCGUUACCAAUAGAGUCAUCUAGACUGCUAUGGACUUGAGUUAUUGUUCUAAAAAAAUCCAUCCCAAGCACAUUGCAUAGAUCAUGUACCAUACCAACAUGCUCAAGAACCUUUUCCAGCCUACGACUCUGUGAUAUUCAUGGAAACAUAUAUUAUAGUCUCUAUGAAACCAAAAACACAGAGAUCACCAAGCAAUAUAAAUUACUUAUGAAAACCAAAUGAAACAGACAAAGUUUGUACCUUCUCUUUCUCAAGCUCUUGAAGCUGUAACUGGAACUCUCGAAGCUUCCGAACUGUCAAAUCAUCCUCAUUAAUCUGUGGUAGUGCCACUUGCUGUCCCAUCUCCAGAGUACCAGCAAUCUCACCACGUAUUUGCUCAAUUCUUGACUGUAUAUUAGCUAAUUCCUUUAUUCUCUCCUUUUUCUUCUUGCCCAAUUGUUCAAGUGUUGGAGCUAUAGCAGUUAGUUGUUCCUUGAUAGUCCGUGCUACGCGCAUAUUUACUUACACUUAUAUCUAUGGAUUUUUCACCAAGGGCAGAAGCAAGCCUAGCAAGCUCUGUCUUUGAGUAAUCCAGUGCCUGGAGAAGAAGAUCCCUUGAUUUGGUUGCCUGAUCAACUUUCCGCUUGUAGACAUCCAAACACUCCUGGUCCAGCUGAAAUAGAACCUUGUCGCGGUCCUCCUCGCUUUCACCAACUUCAUCCCAUACCGACUGAUAAUU
This 1480-nucleotide small RNA is filed under the name Oryza sativa Japonica Group (Japanese rice). Its description in RNAcentral is "sRNA Os02g0720250". Lineage: Eukaryota; Viridiplantae; Streptophyta; Magnoliopsida; Poales; Poaceae. The record is from RNAcentral.